Molecule: ribosomal RNA, 253 nt
Filed under: uncultured bacterium
Lineage: Bacteria
Description: partial 16S ribosomal RNA
Rfam family: Bacterial small subunit ribosomal RNA
Source: RNAcentral
UACGUAGGGUGCAAGCGUUGUCCGGAAUUACUGGGCGUAAAGCGUGCGCAGGCGGUUCGUUGUGUCGGUGGUGAAAUCCCCGGGCUUAACCUGGGAAUGGCCAUGGAAACUGGCGAACUGGAGUGUGGCAGAGGGGGGUGGAAUUCCGCGUGUAGCAGUGAAAUGCGUAGAGAUGCGGAGGAACACCGAUGGCGAAGGCAGCCCCCUGGGCUAACACUGACGCUCAGGCACGAAAGCGUGGGGAGCAAACAGG